RNAcentral lists this unclassified non-coding RNA (462 nucleotides) under uncultured Mortierella. Its description in RNAcentral is "sequence contains ITS2". The stretch from base 1 to 154 matches the Rfam family "5.8S ribosomal RNA". The record is from RNAcentral. Lineage: Eukaryota; Fungi; Mortierellomycota; Mortierellomycetes; Mortierellales; Mortierellaceae.
AACUUUCAACAAUGGAUCUCUUGGCUCUCGCAUCGAUGAAGAACGCAGCGAAAUGCGAUAAGUAGUGUGAAUUGCAGAACUUUGUGAACCAUCGAAUCUUUGAACGCAUAUUGCGCUCUCUGGUAUUCCGGAGAGCAUGCUUGUUUGAGUAUCAGUAAACACCUCAAAUCCCACUCUUUAUUUAUAAGAGUGGAGUUUGGACUUGAGCGAUCCCAACAUUUGAUCUUGUUAUCGAAUGGCGGGUUGCUUGAAAUUCAGGUGCAGCUGGACUUUCUUCUGAGCUAAAAGCAUAUUUAUUUAGUCCCUUAACACGGAUUAUUACUUUUGCUGCAGCUAACAUAAAGGUUGAUUGUCCUUGUGCUGACUGAUGCAGGAAUUCGCAGGUCUCUAAGAUCUGUCAAUCUCGAUCUCAAAUCAAGUAAGACUACCCGCUGAACUUAAGCAUAUCAAUAAGCGGAGGCU